UAUCUCUGUAGAGUCUGCAUAUCAAUAAGCGGAGGAAAAGAAACUAACAAGGAUUCCCCUAGUAACGGCGAGUGAAGCGGGAAGAGCUCAAAUUUGAAAUCUUAAAGGGUUUCCCUUUACGAAUUGUAGUUUAAAGAAGUGUUUUCUGUUGAGGUUUUGGUAAAAGUUCUUUGGAAUAGGACAUCAUAGAGGGUGAGAAUCCCGUAUUUGACCAUUACUUUCCAACUUUGUGAUACACUUUCAAAGAGUCGGAUUGUUUGGGAAUGCAGUCCAAAAUGGGUGGUAAAUUUCAUCUAAAGCUAAAUAUUGGCGAGAGACCGAUAGCGAACAAGUACCGUGAGGGAAAGAUGAAAAGAACUUUGAAAAGAGAGUUAAACAGUACGUGAAAUUGUCAAAAGGGAAGCGUUUGACACCAGUGUUGUUUUCUCGAAAAUCAAUUAAAAAAGGCAGGAUUUUGUGUUGUAUUGACUUUAUCAGCUUUCUGCACUCUUUUCUUGUCUUUUUUAAUGCACUUUUCGUUUAACAAGUCAACAUCAAUUUCUUUUGUUGUAAAAGGGUCAUUGGAAGGUGGCUUUCUUUUCGGAGAAAGUGUUUAUAGCCUUUGGCCUCUGCAAUCGGAGAGAUUGAGGUCUGCAGCGUAGAUCCUUCGGGGUUAGAUACAGUUAGAUGCUAAGUUAUAGCCUUUUCAUAGACAACUUGUUGACUAUGAUCAGUCAUGUAGCUUACUCGCUUAUGCUAUUUUACCUACGCUUAGGAUGUUGACGAUCAGCUGAGCGCG
RNAcentral lists this ribosomal RNA (778 nucleotides) under uncultured Neocallimastigales. RNAcentral describes it as "partial large subunit ribosomal RNA". It matches the Rfam family "Eukaryotic large subunit ribosomal RNA", at positions 24 to 627 of the family's 3401-position model. The record is from RNAcentral. Lineage: Eukaryota; Fungi; Neocallimastigomycota; Neocallimastigomycetes; Neocallimastigales.